AGGUAUGCCAGUCUCUAGAUUGUCCAU
Molecule: unclassified non-coding RNA, 27 nt
Filed under: Mus musculus (house mouse)
Lineage: Eukaryota; Metazoa; Chordata; Mammalia; Rodentia; Muridae
Description: oocyte_clustered_small_RNA7488
Source: RNAcentral